GACGAACGCUGGCGGCGUGCUUAACACAUGCAAGUCGUACGGUAAGGGACGAGCGUGGUUACACGGAUCACGAACGAAUGAGUAACAAAUGAGUAAGUAGCCUACACCAGACGCAGAACGAUAGGAUAGUAAUGCCGAUAAUGAAUGGAUACGCCUCCUGCAUGCAUGGGUUCGGUAUGCUAAGGUGGUUGGUGGGGGACGCGCGGGCGGCCUGUUAGCUUGUUGGUGAGGUAACGGCUCACCAAGGGAACGACGGCUAGCCGGCCUGGGGGGGCGACCGGCCACACUGGGACUGAGACCCGGCCCAGACUCCUACGGGAGGCAGCAGUGGGGAAUAUUGCAAAAUGGGCGAAAGCCUGAUGCAGCGACGCCGCGUGAGGGAUGACGGCCUUCGGGUUGUAAACCUCUUUCAGCAGGGAAGAAGCGAAAGUGACGGUACCUGCAGAAGAAGCACCGGCUAACUACGUG
Molecule: ribosomal RNA, 468 nt
Filed under: uncultured bacterium
Lineage: Bacteria
Description: partial 16S ribosomal RNA
Rfam family: Bacterial small subunit ribosomal RNA
Source: RNAcentral